CACCCGGUAGCACAGUGGUUAGUGCGUCUGCACUGCUUAAAAGACAGAAAAAAUCAUUUAUGCAGAAGAUCCCCGUUGGAUUCGGGGCUGGGUGG
Molecule: non-coding RNA, 95 nt
Organism: Mycena crocata
Lineage: Eukaryota; Fungi; Basidiomycota; Agaricomycetes; Agaricales; Mycenaceae
Source: the annotation of a GenBank genome assembly